ACUAACCUGCAAUUACUGCGACCAGACAACCCCAACAAACUAGCCUGUAAUCACCACUAUCAACCAAAGCGGGAUUGGAGGGGGGGUGAAAGAGUCCUGAGAGGAACCUGGUCUGCCCCCGCCCCCUGUUUGCCCACCACCCCCUGAGACCAAAGGAGGAUUGCGAAAGAAACCACUGAAUGCAUGUUCUCUGCUAUAAAACAUUCCCGUUCAGUGAUGGUCCUCGGCUCAUCUUGCAUGUAAAUCAGAGUUUUGUAUGCUUGAUGACCACAGCAACAGUCAUGUGACAGGAGAGCACAUGGCUGGAGGAGUUAGCACCACGGAGGAAACUGAAAUUGGAAGAAAUCGAGGAUAGGAGGCCUCACAUUGCCUGCUGCAAGGAGGAGACGGUGAUCAGCGGAUCAAAUUUGGGGCCAUAGAUAAUGUAUGUGGCUAAUUUACAGCUUGGAGGUUUCUUAAUCUCGUCCUGCGCCGGUCCUGAGGUGACAAGCAAAGCUGCAUUCAGAAACUCUGAGGUGUAAUCAGCAAUCAGAAAAAGGAAGCCGGAUGUCAGGCUUUUAUAAAUGGUUUCCUCAGAGGAGUUUGA
Epinephelus fuscoguttatus (brown-marbled grouper) is the source of this 586-nucleotide long non-coding RNA. RefSeq lists it as uncharacterized. Lineage: Eukaryota; Metazoa; Chordata; Actinopteri; Perciformes; Serranidae. The record is from RefSeq and is a predicted model, not a curated record. The transcript is spliced from 4 exons.